UCGUAACAAGGUCUCCGUUGGUGAACCAGCGGAGGGAUCAUUG
Molecule: ribosomal RNA, 43 nt
Filed under: Diaporthe melonis
Lineage: Eukaryota; Fungi; Ascomycota; Sordariomycetes; Diaporthales; Diaporthaceae
Also listed under: 10 other names
Description: partial 18S ribosomal RNA
Source: RNAcentral